GUGGGGAAUCUUCCGCAAUGGACGAAAGUCUGACGGAGCAACGCCGCGUGAGUGAAGAAGGUUUUCGGAUCGUAAAGCUCUUUCGUUAGGGACGAACGUGCUCUUUGUGAAUAAUGAGGAGUAAUGACGGUACCUAAAUAAGAAGCCACGGCUAACUACGUGCCAGCAACCGCGGUAAUACGUAGGUGGCAAGCGUUGGCCGGAAUUCUUGGGCGUAAAGCGCGCGCAGGCGGGAUAUCAAGUCUGUCUUAAAAGUGCGAGGCUCAACCUCGUGAGGGGACAGCAAAUGGUAUUCUUGAGUGUCGGAGAGGAAAGUGGAAUUCCAAGUGUAGCGGUGAAAUGCGUAGAGAUUUGGAAGAACACCAGUGGCGAAGGCGACUUUCUGGACGAUGUCUGACGCUGAGGCGCGAAAGCUAGGGGAGCGAACGGGAUUAGAUACCCUUGUAGUCC
RNAcentral lists this ribosomal RNA (450 nucleotides) under uncultured bacterium. RNAcentral's name for it is "partial 16S ribosomal RNA". It matches the Rfam family "Bacterial small subunit ribosomal RNA", at positions 354 to 796 of the family's 1533-position model. The record is from RNAcentral.